UACGUAGGGGGCAAGCGUUGUUCGGAAUUACUGGGCGUAAAGCGCGUGUAGGCGGUCUGGAAAGUUGGGUGUGAAAUCCCUCGGCCUAACCGAGGAACUGCGCUUGAAACUACCAGACUCGAGGGAGAUAGAGGAAAGCGGAACUGAUGGUGGAGCGGUGAAAUGCGUUGAUAUCAUCAGGAACACCGGUGGCGAAGGCGGCUUUCUGGGUCUUACCUGACGCUGAGGAGCGAAAGCGUGGGGAGCGAACAGG
This 253-nucleotide ribosomal RNA is filed under the name uncultured bacterium. RNAcentral describes it as "partial 16S ribosomal RNA". It matches the Rfam family "Bacterial small subunit ribosomal RNA", at positions 524 to 776 of the family's 1533-position model. The record is from RNAcentral.